Molecule: ribosomal RNA, 470 nt
Filed under: uncultured bacterium
Lineage: Bacteria
Description: partial 16S ribosomal RNA
Rfam family: Bacterial small subunit ribosomal RNA
Source: RNAcentral
GACGAACGCUGGCGGCGUGCUUAACACAUGCAAGUCGAACGGUGAACGAGGGAGCUUGCUCCCUCCGGAUCAGUGGCGAACGGGUGAGUAACACGUGAGCAAUCUGCCCCGAACUCUGGGAUAAGCGUUGGAAACGACGUCUAAUACCGGAUACGACGCGGGAGGGCAUCCUCUCCGCGUGGAAAGAACUUCGGUUCGGGAUGAGCUCGCGGCCUAUCAGCUUGUUGGUGAGGUAACGGCGCACCAAGGCGACGACGGGUAGCCGGCCUGAGAGGGUGACCGGCCACACUGGGACUGAGACACGGCCCAGACUCCUACGGGAGGCAGCAGUGGGGAAUAUUGCACAAUGGGCGCAAGCCUGAUGCAGCAACGCCGCGUGAGGGACGACGGCCUUCGGGUUGUAAACCUCUUUUAGCAGGGAAGAAGCGAAAGUGACGGUACCUGCAGAAAAAGCACCGGCUAACUACGUG